Sinocyclocheilus grahami is the source of this 79-nucleotide small nucleolar RNA. The record is from Ensembl. NCBI's taxonomy places the organism in Eukaryota, Metazoa, Chordata, Actinopteri, Cypriniformes, Cyprinidae.
GGCUUACCAAUGAUGUCCAAAAAUAAAUGUCUGAACAAAUGACUGUCCAGUGAUAAUGAUUUUGUACUGAGGUAAGACU